Molecule: long non-coding RNA, 407 nt
Filed under: Vigna radiata
Lineage: Eukaryota; Viridiplantae; Streptophyta; Magnoliopsida; Fabales; Fabaceae
Description: long non-coding RNA (VRAD_LNC007140)
Source: RNAcentral
UUUUAUAUAUAUAACAUUUUACUAGUAAUGUUACAUCAACGUACAUAAUUUAACAAACAAAUUAAUUAAAUAUUAAAAUUAUUUGAAUGUUAUUUAUCAGAACCUUUAAAUUCUGCAAUUUAGUGAGAUUCAGGUGGCUGCGAAAGAAUGGAUUGAGUGGUUUUUUAUGAUAACAUAUAUACUGGGGUUUUAAAAUUUUUGUCACUUUCUGUAUGCACUUUCUUCCCCAAACUUUUGCAGUUUCAAUUUUCUUCUCUUUCUCUCUAAAACUCUCAUUCUUCUUUUUACAAAUUCUCAUUCUCUUUACUUUCAAUCACCAAACAGACCACGCCUGAGCCUCCUGGUGCCAAAGGCUUUCAUUUGCACCGAUCAAAUCUUUGUUCUAAGUUGGUAAGUUCUUCUUCUUC